RNAcentral lists this ribosomal RNA (449 nucleotides) under uncultured organism. Its description in RNAcentral is "partial 16S ribosomal RNA". It matches the Rfam family "Bacterial small subunit ribosomal RNA", at positions 334 to 799 of the family's 1533-position model. The record is from RNAcentral.
CACUCCUGCGGGAGGCAGCAGUGGGAAAUAUUAGACAAUGGGCGCAAGCCUGAUCCAGCCAUGCCGCGUGAGUGAUGAAGGCCCUAGGGUUGUAAAGCUCUUUCACCGGUGAAGAUAAUGACGGUAACCGGAGAAGAAGCCCCGGCUAACUUCGUGCCAGCAGCCGCGGUAAUACGAAGGGGGCUAGCGUUGUUCGGAUUUACUGGGCGUAAAGCGCACGUAGGCGGACUAUUAAGUCAGGGGUGAAAUCCCGGGGCUCAACCCCGGAACUGCCUUUGAUACUGGUAGUCUUGAGUUCAAGAGAGGUGAGUGGAAUUCCGAGUGUAGAGGUGAAAUUCGUAGAUAUUCGGAGGAACACCAGUGGCGAAGGCGGCUCACUGGCUCGAUACUGACGCUGAGGUGCGAAAGCGUGGGGAGCAAACAGGAUUAGAAACCCCUGUAGUCCCAUG